AUGUGUUACUUGUCAUCUUUGGCUGCAGUGCCUCGACAAGAGGCAGGCCCAGACUUAGAACUGCUAUAUAUUUUCUUUUUUUUCCAGCUGUCAGAAUCUUCUGAGCCUGCUUUUAAAAUGGAGAUGCCUGGAUUCAGUCCUCGAUCACCUGAACCUCUUCAGAGGCCCGGGAUCUGCACUUUAAUAAGCUUCCCAAGGGUGACUCUUACGUGCAUGAAAGACCCACGUCGGUACCUGUCUGGCUAAUGAAAGAAAUGCAAAGAGGAUUUCUGCUUUUACACAAGAGGCAAAAAGUGAAGACCGUGGUGAGGGUUUGUUUCGUGGAUCGUGGGGUGAGUGGCCCCACCAGGCUUCUUCCCUGGGAGCCACGCUCAGCGUCCCCGCUUCCAGCUCCCACAGCUUUGAACUGCUCCUGCACAUCUGUGCUUUACCUUGAUUUUUUUUUCUUUGCAUGCAUCUGUUAGCAAGAUGCGUCCUAAAGCAUCAGGGAAGCUUAAAAGAGGUGCUUUUGGGGGGGUCUGGGAAUCCUAAAAAAUGUUCUAUAUAAAUUAAUAGUGACUGCCUCUCUGCUUUACACCAUUUUGACUUCUACCACCGUUGGCACCGUUGGCGGUGAAAGGAGUGACACCGGCCCUUCCCGGGGGGUGGGGGGACGUCUUUAGGGCGCUCCCCCGGCAGGGAGACCCACGGCCCCGGGGUGCACACGCACGUGCCUGACGGAGUGCCAUCGGACUGCUCCUCGGAGGGCCUGGGCCAUGCCCCCCGGCCGUCGGGGCGCCAGUACCUCCAGGCCUACAGCCUCUCAGGCUGCAAGAAAGGAAGCUCGGAGUUUCUGAGUCUUGCCUUUCCAUUUCUCUAACUUGUGUCUUUUCAAGAUCAAAAGGUCUGCAGCCGAUGGAGGCGACUGCGCUCUUUGACCCAGGGUGCCAGGGCCGCCGACAGUAGCCUCCCUGGCAGCGAAUGCAGCCUGUUGAUUGUAUGGGUGCCCCCCCCAACCUCGGGCACAGCCCCUCAUGGUGCACUUUGAGGUCUGGCCUCCUGCUCUCUCCCAUCGAGGCUGCACACAGGUGUGCGAGGUGCCUCUGGGAAGCCCCAGGGCACAGCAGCCAGGGCACACGUCGGCCAAGUCCUCACGUCCAUCCACACUGAGCUGCGGAACAAGGAGCAGGUGACCGAGGCCCACGCAGGGUUCAGGUUCCCUGGCCGCCAGCAGGUCCGCGUCUCCAAGAAGUGGGGCUUUACGAAGUUUAAUGUGGACAAGUUUGAAGAUAUGGUGGCUGAAAAGCGGCUCAUCGCAGUUGGCUGUGGGGUCAAAUACAUCCCUAAUCGUGGCCCCUUGGACAAAUGGAGGGCUCUGCACUCAUGAGAACCUUGCGCCACCCGAACCCUAUUCAUGCCCACCAAUAAAUCCUGCUUCCUGUCAAAAUAAAAUAAAAUAAAAUAAAAUAAAAUAAAAUAAAAUAAAAUAAAAUAAAAAAGAUCAAAAGGUUUUAAAAUGAUGAGUCCAAUGUAUCAUUUUUCUUCUUUUAGGGUUUUUGCUUUGACCUUGCCUAACCCAAGAUCGCGAAGAUC
This 1572-nucleotide long non-coding RNA is filed under the name Canis lupus familiaris (dog). RNAcentral describes it as "lncRNA (ENSCAFG00040005828.1)". The stretch from base 886 to 1009 matches the Rfam family "Small nucleolar RNA SNORA70". Lineage: Eukaryota; Metazoa; Chordata; Mammalia; Carnivora; Canidae. The record is from RNAcentral.